GGGGUCCGCCCAUGUCCGCCGCUGGAGGGAGGCCGUGCGGCCCCGAGCGCGUCCCCGCCACAGCCCGCGGGGAGAUCCCGGCCAUGGCCAUGCCAAGCUGGGCUGCUGCAGCCCCACCACCCGCCCCUCAGGGGACAGUGGGGAAACGGAGGCCAGGAGCGCCAGGGACUGGCUGGGCCCUUGAGCUGGGCAGAGGCCCCAGGACAAGAAAUAGAGCCUCCUCCCGUUUGCAUCGCGGCGUCUGUGUUUCCGUUCACUGGCUUAUUCAUCCACUCAUUCACUCAUGGCCUCACUCACUCACUCAUUCAUCCAGUCAUUCAUUCAUUCAGGCCUUCACUUGUUCCUCAUCCGUUCAUUCGUUCAGGCCACAGGCCUCUGGUGGAAGAGAGGGAGCUGGGGAACUCAGAGAUGCCCACUGUGGCCUCCCCACCGGGCAG
This 437-nucleotide long non-coding RNA is filed under the name Equus caballus (horse). RNAcentral's name for it is "lncRNA (ENSECAG00000046408.1)". Lineage: Eukaryota; Metazoa; Chordata; Mammalia; Perissodactyla; Equidae. The record is from RNAcentral.